AGCUCCAAUAGCGUAUAUUAAAGUUGUUGCAGUUAAAAAGCUCGUAGUUGGAUUUCUGACAGGAGCGACCGGUCUCGAGCCCUUUGUGGUUCUUGUACUUUUUAGGUCCGUCUCUAGUCAUCCUUACGGAGAGCGUGUGUGACAUUAAGUUGUCGUGCACGGGACCCGUAUCGUUUACUGUGAAAAAAUUAGAGUGUUUAAAGCAGGCAAUCGCUGUGAAUACAUUAGCAUGGAAUAAUAAGAUAGGACUUUGGUACUAUUUUGUUGGUUUGCAUACCAAGGUAAUGAUUAAGAGGGACAGUUGGGGGUAUUCGUAUUUAAUUGUCAGAGGUGAAAUUCUUGGAUUUAUGAAAGACGAACUACUGCGAAAGCAUUUACCAAGGAUGUUUUCAUUAAUCAA
RNAcentral lists this ribosomal RNA (400 nucleotides) under phytoplankton environmental sample. RNAcentral describes it as "partial small subunit ribosomal RNA". It matches the Rfam family "Eukaryotic small subunit ribosomal RNA", at positions 587 to 980 of the family's 1831-position model. The record is from RNAcentral.